Molecule: ribosomal RNA, 330 nt
Filed under: uncultured eukaryote
Lineage: Eukaryota
Description: partial 18S ribosomal RNA
Rfam family: Eukaryotic small subunit ribosomal RNA
Source: RNAcentral
CCCUUAGAUGUUCGGGGCCGCACGCGCGCUACACUGAAGGAAUCAGCACGUCUUUCUCCUUGUCCGAAAGGACUGGGUAACCCACUGAACCUCCUUCGUGCUAGGGAUUGGGGCUUGUAAUUCUUCCCCAUGAACGAGGAAUUCCCAGUAAGCGCGAGUCAUAAGCUCGCGUUGAUUACGUCCCUGCCCUUUGUACACACCGCCCGUCGCUACUACCGAUUGGAUGGUUUAGUGAGAUCCUCGGAUUGGUCCCGGAGCGGCCUCUGGUCGUGCCGGAGUGCCGAAAAGAAUGUCGAACUUGAUCAUCUAGAGGAAGUAAAAGUCGUAACA